Molecule: ribosomal RNA, 429 nt
Filed under: Bacteroidota bacterium
Lineage: Bacteria; Pseudomonadati; Bacteroidota
Description: Bacteroidetes bacterium partial 16S ribosomal RNA
Rfam family: Bacterial small subunit ribosomal RNA
Source: RNAcentral
UAGGGAAUCUUCGGCAAUGGGGGGAACCCUGACCGAGCAACGCCGCGUGAGUGAAGAAGGUUUUCGGAUCGUAAAGCUCUGUUGUUAAGGAAGAACGAGUGUGAGAAUGGAAAGUUCAUACUGUGACGGUACUUAACCAGAAAGGGACGGCUAACUACGUGCCAGCAGCCGCGGUAAUACGUAGGUCCCGAGCGUUGUCCGGAUUUAUUGGGCGUAAAGCGAGCGCAGGCGGUUAGAUAAGUCUGAAGUUAAAGGCAGUGGCUCAACCAUUGUAGGCUUUGGAAACUGUUUAACUUGAGGGCAGAAGGGGAGAGUGGAAUUCCAUGUGUAACGGUGAAAUGCGUAGAUAUAUGGAGGAACACCGGUGGCGAAAGCGGCUCUCUAGUCUGUAACUGACGCUGAGGCUCGAAAGCGUGGGGAGCGAACAGG